RNAcentral lists this transfer RNA (77 nucleotides) under Lancefieldella parvula. RNAcentral's name for it is "tRNA-Met". It matches the Rfam family "tRNA". Rfam says of the family: Transfer RNA (tRNA) molecules are approximately 80 nucleotides in length. Their secondary structure includes four short double-helical elements and three loops (D, anti-codon, and T loops). RNAcentral also lists the same sequence under 7 other names. The record is from RNAcentral. Lineage: Bacteria; Bacillati; Actinomycetota; Coriobacteriia; Coriobacteriales; Atopobiaceae.
UGCGGGGUGGAGCAGUCUGGUAGCUCGUCGGGCUCAUAACCCGAAGGUCGUUGGUUCAAAUCCAGCCCCCGCGACCA